GACGAACGCUGGCGGCGUGCCUAAUACAUGCAAGUAGAACGCUGAAGAGAGGAGCUUGCUCUUCUUGGAUGAGUUGCGAACGGGUGAGUAACGCGUAGGUAACCUGCCUUGUAGCGGGGGAUAACUAUUGGAAACGAUAGCUAAUACCGCAUAACAAUGGACGACACAUGUCAUUUAUUUGAAAGGGGCAAUUGCUCCACUACAAGAUGGACCUGCGUUGUAUUAGCUAGUAGGUGAGGUAAUGGCUCACCUAGGCGACGAUACAUAGCCGACCUGAGAGGGUGAUCGGCCACACUGGGACUGAGACACGGCCCAGACUCCUACGGGAGGCAGCAGUAGGGAAUCUUCGGCAAUAGGGGCAACCCUGACCGAGCAACGCCGCGUGAGUGAAGAAGGUUUUCGGAUCGUAAAGCUCUGUUGUAAGUCAAGAACGGGGGUGAGAGUGGAAAGUUCACACUGUGACGGUAGCUUACCAGAAAGGGACGGCUAACUACGUG
This 497-nucleotide ribosomal RNA is filed under the name uncultured bacterium. RNAcentral describes it as "partial 16S ribosomal RNA". It matches the Rfam family "Bacterial small subunit ribosomal RNA", at positions 28 to 507 of the family's 1533-position model. The record is from RNAcentral.